This is a long non-coding RNA of Armigeres subalbatus, 1067 nucleotides long. RefSeq lists it as uncharacterized. The transcript is spliced from 4 exons. The record is from RefSeq and is a predicted model, not a curated record. Lineage: Eukaryota; Metazoa; Arthropoda; Insecta; Diptera; Culicidae.
UACUUUGUUGACGGCCACCCCUGGCGCAGUUCUCGCUUGGUUACCAUAAGGAACUCCUUUUACGGUAGUUACAUGGAGCUGCUGACGCUAAAAAUGGGAAAAAGUGAUUUUCAUCAGGUUUUCGAGAAUACUGUUGAAGCAGACCAAACAAAAUUUAAACUGAUCAUUGGACACAGCAAAAGAAGACAGGAAACAGAUAAAAUCGGGGGUAAAAAUUAUGCCUGCAAUUAUCAUUUGACACAGCGGAAGCAGACAAACUCAAGCACAACACUUGUACUCGAUACAUAACGUGUCAAUAAGUAAUAGCAACGAAACUUCGUCAAGUUACAAGGAGAAUCAAAAGCUGCUCCACCUGACGCAGAUCGACACGGAACUGCGAAUGUCGCCUGGAAGGUGGUAACGUUAAUUAGCCAUUGCUAACUAGUUCCUUGGUAACCAAGCGAGAACAGCGCCAGGGGUUCCCGUUAACAAAGUAAACUACGAUUCAGCUGGCGUUGCUGGUGAGUGCCGAAAAGGGAUAUCUAUUUGUGUAACUAUAUAGCGGUUGAGCAACGAGCGAAAUGAGCGCUACAGUGACCGGCAGACACGCAUAACAUCGCUCUGCAUGAGAAGCAGUUGCUCCAGAUUGUUCAGCACCUGAUGACUUGACUUCGGAGGAUUGAUCAUUCAUAUAUAGUCAUAGCCGGGAGAGUGGUAUAUUGAGAAGGAUUCAUCACGCCAGCUCGUCGCUCAUCGUGCCGGAAAAAGAAUUUGUUCUCGAUUUCAGAAGAGCUCUUGAUAAUUGCGAAAAAUUCUUUGAUAAUUGCAAACCAUGUUGUUUUGAAUGUCCUACCGUAUGAGAUAAAACUAUUUAUUCAAUUCAAUUUCAAUAGGUGGUUCACUUUUACAUGAUUUCAAUCUCGAAGGUCAUCAUGAAAGUAUUUACCUGUAUGAGAAUUUGUUGACAUUAGUUCUUUUGGGCACAAGCAUGAUGCAACAAUACGUCGAAUAAUCUGUCAGUGAAAAGAAUAUACAACAUCUAAUUAUCUAUACUGUAUUAAUUUAAAUAUCCUGCCUACAUAUUUCAA